AAGAGAGGAGGGAAAAAGGAGAGAAGAACUUACUCGGGUAAUGGAGGUCACAGCCUCCCUUUGUUGGCUACUGAAAUUCUGCCCCUCGAUCCUAUCUAGAUCAAUAGAUAGGAGCAUCCCCUCCAAUACUUCAUGUGCAACCCUCCAAUCUUUAAAUGAAGCAUUUGGUGGAAGGGGAGUCACGUAAGUUCUUGGUUGUUCGGGACCUUAGCGAGAAUCGAACUUGAUUGCUUAUCUCGAGGCC
Molecule: long non-coding RNA, 244 nt
Filed under: Elaeis guineensis (African oil palm)
Lineage: Eukaryota; Viridiplantae; Streptophyta; Magnoliopsida; Arecales; Arecaceae
Description: long non-coding RNA (EGUI_LNC031616)
Source: RNAcentral